RNAcentral lists this ribosomal RNA (1094 nucleotides) under Halomonas cupida. RNAcentral's name for it is "bacterial SSU rRNA". It matches the Rfam family "Bacterial small subunit ribosomal RNA", at positions 57 to 1145 of the family's 1533-position model. Lineage: Bacteria; Pseudomonadati; Pseudomonadota; Gammaproteobacteria; Oceanospirillales; Halomonadaceae. The record is from RNAcentral.
GCAGUCGAGCGGAACGAUCCUAGCUUGCUAGGAGGCGUCGAGCGGCGGACGGGUGAGUAAUGCAUAGGAAUCUACCCGGUAGUGGGGGAUAACCUGGGGAAACCCAGGCUAAUACCGCAUACGUCCUACGGGAGAAAGCAGGGGAUCUUCGGACCUUGCGCUAUCGGAUGAGCCUAUGUCGGAUUAGCUAGUUGGUGAGGUAACGGCUCACCAAGGCUGCGAUCCGUAGCUGGUCUGAGAGGAUGAUCAGCCACAUCGGGACUGAGACACGGCCCGAACUCCUACGGGAGGCAGCAGUGGGGAAUAUUGGACAAUGGGCGAAAGCCUGAUCCAGCCAUGCCGCGUGUGUGAAGAAGGCCUUCGGGUUGUAAAGCACUUUCAGUGAGGAAGAAAGCCUUGAGGCUAAUACCCUCGAGGGAGGACAUCACUCACAGAAGAAGCACCGGCUAACUCCGUGCCAGCAGCCGCGGUAAUACGGAGGGUGCGAGCGUUAAUCGGAAUUACUGGGCGUAAAGCGCGCGUAGGCGGCUUGAUAAGCCGGUUGUGAAAGCCCCGGGCUCAACCUGGGAACGGCAUCCGGAACUGUCAGGCUAGAGUGCAGGAGAGGAAGGUAGAAUUCCCGGUGUAGCGGUGAAAUGCGUAGAGAUCGGGAGGAAUACCAGUGGCGAAGGCGGCCUUCUGGACUGACACUGACGCUGAGGUGCGAAAGCGUGGGUAGCAAACAGGAUUAGAUACCCUGGUAGUCCACGCCGUAAACGAUGUCGACUAGCCGUUGGGCUCCUUGAGAGCUUUGUGGCGCAGUUAACGCGAUAAGUCGACCGCCUGGGGAGUACGGCCGCAAGGUUAAAACUCAAAUGAAUUGACGGGGGCCCGCACAAGCGGUGGAGCAUGUGGUUUAAUUCGAUGCAACGCGAAGAACCUUACCUACCCUUGACAUCGAGAGAACUUUCCAGAGAUGGAUUGGUGCCUUCGGGAACUCUCAGACAGGUGCUGCAUGGCUGUCGUCAGCUCGUGUUGUGAAAUGUUGGGUUAAGUCCCGUAACGAGCGCAACCCUUGUCCCUAUUUGCCAGCGAUUCGGUCGGGAACUCUAGGG